This 253-nucleotide ribosomal RNA is filed under the name uncultured bacterium. RNAcentral describes it as "partial 16S ribosomal RNA". It matches the Rfam family "Bacterial small subunit ribosomal RNA", at positions 524 to 776 of the family's 1533-position model. The record is from RNAcentral.
UACGAAGGGGGCUAGCGUUGCUAGGAAUCACUGGGCGUAAAGGGUGCGUAGGCGGGUCUUUAAGUCAGGGGUGAAAUCCUGGAGCUCAACUCCAGAACUGCCUUUGAUACUGAGGAUCUUGAGUUCGGGAGAGGUGAGUGGAACUGCGAGUGUAGAGGUGAAAUUCGUAGAUAUUCGCAAGAACACCAGUGGCGAAGGCGGCUCACUGGCCCGAUACUGACGCUGAGGCACGAAAGCGUGGGGAGCAAACAGG